RNAcentral lists this ribosomal RNA (460 nucleotides) under uncultured bacterium. RNAcentral describes it as "partial 16S ribosomal RNA". It matches the Rfam family "Bacterial small subunit ribosomal RNA", at positions 338 to 795 of the family's 1533-position model. The record is from RNAcentral.
CCUACGGGCGGCAGCAGUGAGGAAUAUUGGUCAAUGGACGAGAGUCUGAUCCAGCCAAGUAGCGUGAAGGAUGACUGCCCUAUGGGUUGUAAACUUCUUUUAUAUGGGAAUAAAAUGUUCAACGUGAGGAAGUUUGUAUGUACCAUAUGAAUAAGGAUGGGCUAACCCCGGGCCAGCAGCCGCGGUAAUCCGGAGGAUCCGGGCGUUAUCCGGAUUUAUGGGGUUUAAAGGGAGCGUAGGUGGAUUGUGAAGUCAGUUGUGAAAGUUUGCGGCUCAACCGUAAAAUUGCAGUUGAAACUGGCAGUCUUGAGUACAGUAGAGGUGAGCGGAAUUCGUGGUGUAGCGGUGAAAUGCUUAGAUAUCACGAAGAACUCCGAUUGCGAAGGCAGCUCACUGGACUGCAACUGACACUGAGGCUCGAAAGUGUGGGUAUCAAACAGGAUUAGAUACCCUGGUAGUC